RNAcentral lists this ribosomal RNA (497 nucleotides) under uncultured bacterium. Its description in RNAcentral is "partial 16S ribosomal RNA". It matches the Rfam family "Bacterial small subunit ribosomal RNA", at positions 28 to 507 of the family's 1533-position model. The record is from RNAcentral.
GACGAACGCUGGCGGCGUGCCUAAUACAUGCAAGUUGAGCGAUGAAGAUUGGUGCUUGCACCAAUUUGAAGAGCAGCGAACGGGUGAGUAACGCGUGGGGAAUCUGCCUUUGAGCGGGGGACAACAUUUGGAAACGAAUGCUAAUACCGCAUAACAACUUUAAACAUACGUUUUAAGUUUGAAAGAUGCAAUUGCAUCACUCAAAGAUGAUCCCGCGUUGUAUUAGCUAGUUGGUGAGGUAAAGGCUCACCAAGGCGAUGAUACAUAGCCGACCUGAGAGGGUGAUCGGCCAAAUUGGGACUGAGACCAGGCCCAAACUCCUACGGGAGGCAGCAGUAGGGAAACUUCGGCAAUGGACGAAAGUCUGACCGAGAAACGCCGCGUGAGUGAAGAAGGUUUUCGGAUCGUAAAACUCUGUUGGUAGAGAAGAACGUUGGUGAGAGUGGAAAGCUCAUCAAGUGACGGUAACUACCCAGAAAGGGACGGCUAACUACGUG